AGAAGGGGGACGUGGAGAAUCCUGUGCUGUCAGGAGCCCAGCAGAGACCUCAGCAACUUCUUGCAACGACUCAACGCAUUUAGGGAUCUCUGCCAUUUGUUUUUGUUUCCUUUCACUGUCUUCUCUGCUAUUAUUGUUUCAAUGUGCAAAGAUGCUGCACAUCCAGAAAGGAAAUCACUGCUGGAUCCAAGCAGCACAACCACCCUUCACUCCAGCUCUCUGCAGGCAAAUCACUAGAAAGAAGAGGAAAGCCUGCUUGUAGCAGCCUGUAUCCCUUCAGUGUCAUAUUAUAUUACCAUCCACCAUGUUAGCAAAUGGGAAAAUAAACAUGGGCUGGAUAGCA
Molecule: long non-coding RNA, 343 nt
Filed under: Cyanistes caeruleus (blue tit)
Lineage: Eukaryota; Metazoa; Chordata; Aves; Passeriformes; Paridae
Description: lncRNA (ENSCCEG00000012102.1)
Source: RNAcentral